Molecule: ribosomal RNA, 253 nt
Filed under: uncultured bacterium
Lineage: Bacteria
Description: partial 16S ribosomal RNA
Rfam family: Bacterial small subunit ribosomal RNA
Source: RNAcentral
CACGUAGGGUGCGAGCGUUGUCCGGAAUUAUUGGGCGUAAAGAGCUCGUAGGCGGUUUGUCGCGUCGGGAGUGAAAUCAUCUGGCUUAACUGGGUGCUUGCUUUCGAUACGGGCAGACUAGAGGUAUGCAGGGGAGAACGGAAUUCCUGGUGUAGCGGUGAAAUGCGCAGAUAUCAGGAGGAACACCGGUGGCGAAGGCGGUUCUCUGGGCAUGAUCUGACGCUGAGGAGCGAAAGUGUGGGGAGCGAACAGG